ACGAAUUCAAAAUUAUUUGUUUUUUUAACAGAAGAAGAAUUUCUAUUGAUGUGAGGAAAAAAAGAACUAUAAAUGCAGAGAAUGAGAUAUCCUUAGCAAAAAAUCAAAAUAGUGAGAAAGAACAAAAAUGAAUCUAUCCUAUGGGAUGCAAAUUAUUGUGUCCCAAUUCUGAUGGAGUUAGAAGAUGACUCCAUCAGUGUAGUUUCCAUUUGACUUUGGCCCAUAUGGUGGCCAGAAAGGUGGUCCUAUCCCUCAACUCUCUAGUGGAUGCAU
RNAcentral lists this long non-coding RNA (273 nucleotides) under Carica papaya (papaya). RNAcentral's name for it is "long non-coding RNA (CPAP_LNC012190)". Lineage: Eukaryota; Viridiplantae; Streptophyta; Magnoliopsida; Brassicales; Caricaceae. The record is from RNAcentral.